CACUUGAAGCGGGGGUACCGCGGCGGGCCGGCACGGUCGCGCGGUUGAGACAGUCCCUUCGAACCUGAUGCGGUUGAGACCGCCGUAGGGAAGCUUCGCAGGACGCGAU
RNAcentral lists this non-coding RNA (109 nucleotides) under Lysobacter enzymogenes. Its description in RNAcentral is "TPP sequence". It matches the Rfam family "TPP riboswitch aptamer (THI element)". From Rfam's summary of the family: Vitamin B(1) in its active form thiamin pyrophosphate (TPP) is an essential coenzyme that is synthesised by coupling of pyrimidine and thiazole moieties in bacteria. The previously detected thiamin-regulatory element, thi box was extended, resulting in a new, highly conserved RNA secondary structure, the THI element, which is widely distributed in eubacteria and also occurs in some archaea. The record is from Rfam by way of RNAcentral. Lineage: Bacteria; Pseudomonadati; Pseudomonadota; Gammaproteobacteria; Lysobacterales; Lysobacteraceae.